UACAGAGGGUGCGAGCGUUAAUCGGAAUUACUGGGCGUAAAGGGUGAGUAGGUGGACCUUUAAGUCAGGUGUGAAAUACCCGAGCUUAACUUGGGAAUAGCGCUUGAUACUGAGGGUCUAGAGUACAGUAGAGGAUAGCGGAAUUUCCGGUGUAGCGGUGAAAUGCGUAGAUAUCGGAAGGAACAUCAGUGGCGAAGGCGGCUAUCUGGACUGAAACUGACACUGAGUCACGAAAGCGUGGGUAGCAAACAGG
RNAcentral lists this ribosomal RNA (253 nucleotides) under uncultured bacterium. RNAcentral's name for it is "partial 16S ribosomal RNA". It matches the Rfam family "Bacterial small subunit ribosomal RNA", at positions 524 to 776 of the family's 1533-position model. The record is from RNAcentral.